UACAGGGGGUGCAAGCGUUGCUCGGAAUCACUGGGCGUAAAGCGUGCGCAGGCGGAACGUUAAGUCGGAUGUGAAAUCCCGGGGCUCAACCCCGGAACUGCAUUCGAAACUGGCGAUCUUGAGUGCGGCAGAGGUGAGUGGAAUUCCUGGUGUAGAGGUGAAAUUCGUAGAUAUCAGGAGGAACACCGGUGGCAAAAGCGGCUCACUGGGCCGACACUGACGCUCAUGCACGAAAGCGUGGGGAGCAAACAGG
RNAcentral lists this ribosomal RNA (253 nucleotides) under uncultured bacterium. RNAcentral's name for it is "partial 16S ribosomal RNA". It matches the Rfam family "Bacterial small subunit ribosomal RNA", at positions 524 to 776 of the family's 1533-position model. The record is from RNAcentral.